This 58-nucleotide non-coding RNA is filed under the name Spodoptera frugiperda (fall armyworm). Lineage: Eukaryota; Metazoa; Arthropoda; Insecta; Lepidoptera; Noctuidae. The record is from RNAcentral.
GCUUUCGCAAUUUGCCGCACCCGUAAGUGAGCCUGGGUGGGGCAAAUUGCGAAAGCUG